CCCUUAUUCCAUUCACAAACAAAAGUGCGACUCUGUACCGCCGUUAAAACUGGUCGUGCGGCGACGUACUCUGAUUUUACUACACAGCUGUUUGAAUGAAAUGGAAGGGGAGGAGAGGGAAUGCAAAAAUACGCAUUUAUUAAUAUUUUCAAUGGCGGUGAUCUACAAUGGAAAAGACGGAGGAUGCUGCAGAUUCUGGUGGAAUAUUGGAAUGUGGCUACAGUUAGCUAUUGGGUAGGUGCUGAUGUAAUUUCUGGAGUUGGACAUGUGCAAGAUUAAACUUCUAGAGGAUAUUGAACUUCAAACUGGCCUUUGAUUUUGUUUAGAAUUCAAUACUAAUUCAACACCUGAGGAAAGUGAAGUGGAAGACCGAGAUCCUAUUGAAAGGUCAGGUAAGUCUCUUAUUAGAGAGUUAGGUGGAAAAGCAAGGACCAAAACCACCAAAGUUUUCGGGCUGAAGCCUUAGAUCUUUGGCGAGAAAUGCCCCUUGACAUUUUCAUUUAAAACUAAAAUUAUACACUAAUAGAAAUAAGAGUGUUAGGUUAUAAAAUUUUCUAAAAGAUAAUCCUAAUAAACAUUUUCAUAAGACAAUUCAUAAAUAUUCUUUUAGAAAAUUUUAUUGCUAACUUUAAAAUAAUAAAAACUAAAGUUUCGUUUCCUUACAGGUUGUUAAGACUUCAAGUGUCCCUGAGAAGGACGAACCGAAGGAACGAAAACACCAUAUAGAAGCCAAAUUCAGUGGAAUUCAUGGGAAUUGCAAGUAUUGUAAUGAAAUAUUUAAAACUUAAAUUUAUUACUAUUUGAAUCCCUACUAAAGUCCUUCGAACUUUUCUUCAGGUGGCAACAACUAUAACAACAACAAUAGAGAAGAUAAAUGAGAACGGAUAAUGAAGCAGAUAAUCCGGCGUAAGUUCCAAAAGAAAAUAUAAACUAAAAGAUUUUUGAUCCUUCAAACCAAAAAAAACUCAAAAGAAAAUGAAAGCAAAACUCAAAAUUUAAAAACUUAAAUAACUUGUAUGCGGGCGGCAUUUUCGGGUAAAUAAAAGUUCGCAGGUAAGAUUUCACAAUUUACAUUGCUGAUUUGUGUAUAGAUAUGACCUAAUUCUUUUUCCUAUUCUGGUUUCAGGAGAUGCAGAGUACUAACAAAUAACAAAACAACAAAAGGAUGAACAAGAACUAACUGUCUUUCUACAGCACGUACUAAUGAGGUGCAACUUGACCAGGAUUACGUUCUCCUAGUAUUCAAGGACUACCUUCCUAGACUUCCUGCAGAACUAAAACGUUCAAGGAUGGAAGUUUCUCGACGCCAGGUGGUUGCAGGAUGGUUUUCUGUCCGUCCGUUUUAUCGUCGGUUCGGGUAUUUCCGGUUUCCGGCAACCUAUGAGUUGAAAUGUACCGCGGGAUUAUUCCUAACUAGGCCUGAGCUCAAUCCUAUCAUUCUCGCGCACGCUUGGAACAAUUUCAUCCAGCGGACUGGCUUCGAGCAACUAACGCAAGGUAUGCCUAUUAACGUAUAUAUAUAUUUCUCUUUUUUUUUUGUUUUCUAAAAAAAUUUUUUUUUUUUAUAUAUUUUCUUUUUAUAUAUGGAAAUUAUUUAAAAGGGCUGGUUCCGUUCGUCCUGUCGUUCGGGUAAGAAGUACACUAUGUCGAAAACCUUAAUACCUGUGCACCACAGGACUGAUGGUGCGAAUUUGCCAGAGUAGUCCCACGAUGGAUGGAGCUGGCGAUGGCGUGGCUCAGCGUUGGCUGUUUUAGUUUUAUUAUCCUGUUUUACUUAAUUUGAUGUAUUACUUUAUUUAUUUUUAAGUUUUAUUUUAAGUUUAGUUUUAAAUUUGUAAUUUAUUAAAUGAAUAAUAAAAAAAUAAAAAAAAUUCAA
Molecule: long non-coding RNA, 1876 nt
Organism: Calliphora vicina (urban bluebottle blowfly)
Lineage: Eukaryota; Metazoa; Arthropoda; Insecta; Diptera; Calliphoridae
Exons: 8
Source: RefSeq, a predicted model, not a curated record